RNAcentral lists this transfer RNA (73 nucleotides) under Ailuropoda melanoleuca (giant panda). It matches the Rfam family "tRNA". From Rfam's summary of the family: Transfer RNA (tRNA) molecules are approximately 80 nucleotides in length. Their secondary structure includes four short double-helical elements and three loops (D, anti-codon, and T loops). Further hydrogen bonds mediate the characteristic L-shaped molecular structure. tRNAs have two regions of fundamental functional importance: the anti-codon, which is responsible for specific mRNA codon recognition, and the 3' end, to which the tRNAs corresponding amino acid is attached (by aminoacyl-tRNA synthetases). tRNAs cope with the degeneracy of the genetic code in two manners: having more than one tRNA (with a specific anti-codon) for a particular amino acid; and 'wobble' base-pairing, i.e. permitting non-standard base-pairing at the 3rd anti-codon position. Lineage: Eukaryota; Metazoa; Chordata; Mammalia; Carnivora; Ursidae. The record is from Rfam by way of RNAcentral.
ACCUCAUUGGCUCAGUCGGUAGAGCAUCUGACUCUUGAUCUUGGGGUCAUGAGUUUGAGUCCCAUGUUCGGUG